UGGGGAAUCUUGCACAAUGGGGGCGACCCUGAUGCAGCGACGCCGCGUGAGCGAUGAAGCCCUUCGGGGCGUAAAGCUCUUUCGACCGGAACGAUAAUGACGGUACCGGGAGAAGAAGCUGCGGCUAACUACGUGCCAGCAGCCGCGGUAAUACGUAGGCAGCAAGCGUUGUUCGGAGUUACUGGGCGUAAAGAGUGCAUAGGCGGUUUUCUAAGUUCGGUGUGAAAUCUCCCGGCUUAACUGGGAGGGUGCGCCGAAGACUGGGAAGCUGGAGUGUGGGAAAGGCAGGCGGAAUUCCUGGUGUAGCGGUGAAAUGCGUAGAUAUCAGGAGGAACACCGGCGGUGUAGACGGCUUGCUAGACCAUAACUGACGCUGAGGCACGAAAGCGUGGGUAGCAAACA
Molecule: ribosomal RNA, 402 nt
Filed under: uncultured bacterium
Lineage: Bacteria
Description: bacterial SSU rRNA
Rfam family: Bacterial small subunit ribosomal RNA
Source: RNAcentral